This 252-nucleotide unclassified non-coding RNA is filed under the name Hevea brasiliensis (rubber tree). The record is from RNAcentral. Lineage: Eukaryota; Viridiplantae; Streptophyta; Magnoliopsida; Malpighiales; Euphorbiaceae.
GGAGAACCGAUCCUAUUGUGGGUUAUGUAGGUGGCUCCAUCGUUAUAGCCGGUGGCACGUGCGAUUUUGAAGAUGAUCCAUUAGCUGUGGAAAUUUACAAUAACGAAACCAACACUUGGGAAACGUCUGAAUCAAUGCCCGCCAUACUCAAAGACUCAGCGGCAUCUACGUGGCUGUCAAUCGCUGCCACCGGCGAUAAACUCGUCGUUGCAGAGAAAUUCACCGGAGUUACUUACUGUUUCCAUCCGAAAA